This 469-nucleotide ribosomal RNA is filed under the name uncultured bacterium. RNAcentral describes it as "bacterial SSU rRNA". It matches the Rfam family "Bacterial small subunit ribosomal RNA", at positions 28 to 507 of the family's 1533-position model. The record is from RNAcentral.
GACGAACGCUGGCGGCGUGGAUUAGGCAUGCAAGUCGGACGGUAGGGCUUUAUCGUAAGAUAGAGUUUGAGAGUGGCGAACGGGUGAGUAACACGUAGGAAUCUACCCUUAAGACGGGGACAACCCAGGGAAACUUGGGCUAAUACCGGAUGAGAGUGCGAGAGAUUGCAUUUAAAAGGAUGGCGAAAGUUGUCGCUUAGGGAUGAGCCUGCGGUCUAUUAGUUAGUUGGUGAGGUAAGAGCUCACCAAGGCGAUGAUAGAUAGGCGGCCUUAACGGGUGGUCGCCCACACUGGGAUUGAGAUACGGCCCAGACUCCUACGGGAGGCAGCAGUGGGGAAUAUUGCGCAAUGGACGAAAGUCUGACGCAGCGACGCCGCGUGAGCGACGAAGGCCUUCGGGUCGUAAAGCUCUGUUCUUGGGGACGAAGUAUGACGGUACCCAAGGAGAAAGACCCCGGCUAACUACGUG